GAUGAACGUUGGCGGCGUGCCUAACACAUGCAAGUCGAGCGAACAGACAAGGAGCUUGCUCCUUUGACGUUAGCGGCGGACGGGUGAGUAACACGUGGGUAACCUACCUAUAAGACUGGGAUAACUUCGGGAAACCGGAGCUAAUACCGGAUAAUACCUCCAACCGCAUGGUUCGAUAGUGAAAGAUGGUUUUGCUAUCACUUAUAGAUGGACCCGCGCCGUAUUAGCUAGUUGGUAAGGUAACGGCUUACCAAGGCGACGAUACGUAGCCGACCUGAGAGGGUGAUCGGCCACACUGGAACUGAGACACGGUCCAGACUCCUACGGGAGGCAGCAGUAGGGAAUCUUCCGCAAUGGGCGAAAGCCUGACGGAGCAACGCCGCGUGAGUGAUGAAGGUCUUCGGAUCGUAAAACUCUGUUAUUAGGGAAGAACAUACGUGUAAGUAACUAUGCACGUCUUGACGGUACCUAAUCAGAAAGCCACGGCUAACUACGUGCCAGCAGCCGCGGUAAUACGUAGGUGGCAAGCGUUAUCCGGAAUUAUUGGGCGUAAAGCGCGCGUAGGCGGUUUUUUAAGUCUGAUGUGAAAGCCCACGGCUCAACCGUGGAGGGUCAUUGGAAACUGGAAAACUUGAGUGCAGAAGAGGAAAGUGGAAUUCCAUGUGUAGCGGUGAAAUGCGCAGAGAUAUGGAGGAACACCAGUGGCGAAGGCGACUUUCUGGUCUGUAACUGACGCUGAUGUGCGAAAGCGUGGGGAUCAAACAGGAUUAGAUACCCUGGUAGUCCACGCCGUAAACGAUGAGUGCUAAGUGUUAGGGGGUUUCCGCCCCUUAGUGCUGCAGCUAACGCAUUAAGCACUCCGCCUGGGGAGUACGACCGCAAGGUUGAAACUCAAAGGAAUUGACGGGGACCCGCACAAGCGGUGGAGCAUGUGGUUUAAUUCGAAGCAACGCGAAGAACCUUACCAAAUCUUGACAUCCUUUGACAACUCUAGAGAUAGAGCCUUCCCCUUCGGGGGACAAAGUGACAGGUGGUGCAUGGUUGUCGUCAGCUCGUGUCGUGAGAUGUUGGGUUAAGUCCCGCAACGAGCGCAACCCUUAAGCUUAGUUGCCAUCAUUAAGUUGGGCACUCUAAGUUGACUGCCGGUGACAAACCGGAGGAAGGUGGGGAUGACGUCAAAUCAUCAUGCCCCUUAUGAUUUGGGCUACACACGUGCUACAAUGGACAAUACAAAGGGCAGCGAAAUCGCGAGGUCAAGCAAAUCCCAUAAAGUUGUUCUCAGUUCGGAUUGUAGUCUGCAACUCGACUACAUGAAGCUGGAAUCGCUAGUAAUCGUAGAUCAGCAUGCUUCGGUGAAUACGUUCCCGGGUCU
Molecule: ribosomal RNA, 1372 nt
Filed under: uncultured bacterium
Lineage: Bacteria
Description: bacterial SSU rRNA
Rfam family: Bacterial small subunit ribosomal RNA
Source: RNAcentral